AUUGAACGCUGGCGGCAUGCCUUACACAUGCAAGUCGAACGGCAGCACGGGAGCUUGCUCCUGGUGGCGAGUGGCGAACGGGCGAGUAAUACAUCGGAACGUACCCUGAAGUGGGGGAUAACGUAGCGAAAGUUACGCUAAUACCGCAUAUUCUGUGAGCAGGAAAGAGGGGGAUCGCAAGACCUCUUGCUUUAGGAGCGGCCGAUGUCGGAUUAGCUAGUUGGUGAGGUAAAGGCUCACCAAGGCGACGAUCCGUAGCGGGUCUGAGAGGAUGAUCCGCCACACUGGGACUGAGACACGGCCCAGACUCCUACGGGAGGCAGCAGUGGGGAAUUUUGGACAAUGGGCGCAAGCCUGAUCCAGCCAUGCCGCGUGAGUGAAGAAGGCCUUCGGGUUGUUAAA
This 402-nucleotide ribosomal RNA is filed under the name uncultured bacterium. RNAcentral describes it as "bacterial SSU rRNA". It matches the Rfam family "Bacterial small subunit ribosomal RNA", at positions 30 to 430 of the family's 1533-position model. The record is from RNAcentral.